Molecule: ribosomal RNA, 292 nt
Filed under: uncultured bacterium
Lineage: Bacteria
Also listed under: 1 other name
Description: partial 16S ribosomal RNA
Source: RNAcentral
GGACUACAAGGGUAUCUAAUCCUGUUUGCUCCCCACGCUCUCGCGCAUCAGCGUCAGUAUUUGUCCAGGUAGCCGCCUUCGCCACUGGUGUUCCUUCCGAUCUCUACGCAUUUCACCGCUACACCGGAAAUUCCACUACCCUCUACAAUACUCCAGUCAUGCAGUUAUCGAUGCAGUUCCUAGGUUAAGCCCAGGGAUUUCACACCAAUCUUACAUAACCGCCUACGCGCCCUUUACGCCCAGUAACUCCGAUUAACGCUCGCACCCUCUGUAUUACCGCGGCUGCUGGCAC